This 531-nucleotide long non-coding RNA is filed under the name Oncorhynchus mykiss (rainbow trout). Its description in RNAcentral is "lncRNA (ENSOMYG00000050299.1)". The record is from RNAcentral. Lineage: Eukaryota; Metazoa; Chordata; Actinopteri; Salmoniformes; Salmonidae.
AUGUCCCUAGGCUUUGUGGUCAUUCUUUAUUCACUUUAUUUAAUGUCCGUGGCAGGGCAGAAAUUGGACCAGGAGAUAUCAUGGACUAGGACACAGGGACAGGCUGUCUCCUUCAGCUGCAAAGAUACUUACCAGUGUACAACGUUUGUCUACUGGUACCAGAAGAAGGAGGGAGAACCUUUUACCUUGAUUCUUGACAUCCAAAAGGAUAACUGCGCUGUCGAUGCAAGUUACAACCAUCCUCAAAAAGAUGACUUCUCAGCAACAAGUAUGAAUAACAACUGUGAUCUAAAAAUCCAGUCUGUUAAAGUCUCCCAUUCUGCCACCUACUACUGUGCCUGCUGGAACCCACAGUGACAACACAUCCAUUCACCCUGUACAAAAACUCUGGUUUUAGUCAAGCUGUGAAUUUAUAAAAAUUAAAAAACAUAAUCAGAGGAACAUUUUUAGAUGUCUCUCCCAGCUGGUGUUUCAUCUCUCAUCUUCAUAAUCGACUAUAUGAUGAAAACCAUACUUCAGUAAAGAUCUGUG